Molecule: non-coding RNA, 276 nt
Organism: Pelobates cultripes (western spadefoot toad)
Lineage: Eukaryota; Metazoa; Chordata; Amphibia; Anura; Pelobatidae
Source: the annotation of a GenBank genome assembly
GACUGCAUCUCUGUAACAGCUGUACUGUCAGCCUCACAUUAGGUGAACCUAGACUACAUCUCUGUAACAUCCGUACUGCCAGCCUCACAUUAGGGGAGCCCAGAAUGCAGCUCUGUAACAUCCACACUGCCAGUCUUACAUUAGUGGAGCCCAGACUGCAGCAAUGUAACAACUGCCAGCCUCACAUUAGGGGAGCCUAGACUGCAGUUCCAUAAUAUCUGUACUGCCAGACUGUAGCUCUGUAACAUCCGUACUGUCAGCCUUAUAUUAGGGGAG